UUUGAAAUCUGGCUUCGGCCCGAGUUGUAAUUUGCAGAGGAUGUUUCUGGCGCGGUGCCUUCCGAGUUCCCUGGAACGGGACGCCACAGAGGGUGAGAGCCCCGUAUGGUUGGACACCAAGCCUGUGUGAAACUCCUUCGACGAGUCGAGUAGUUUGGGAAUGCUGCUCAAAAUGGGAGGUAAAUCUCUUCUAAAGCUAAAUACCGGCCAGAGACCGAUAGCGCACAAGUAGAGUGAUCGAAAGAUGAAAAGCACCUUGAAAAGGGGGUUAAACAGUACGUGAAAUUGUUGAAAGGGAAGCGCUUGUGACCAGACUUGCGCCGGGCGGUUCAUCCGGGGUUCUCCCCGGUGCACUCCGCCCGGCUCAGGCCAGCAUCGGUUCUCGUUGGGGGAUAAGAACGGCAGGAACGUGGCCCUCCUUCGGGUGGGUGUUAUAGCCUGCCGUACGAUACCCUGACGGGGACCGAGGUUCGCGCUCCGCAAGGAUGCUGGCGUAAUGGUCAUCAGCGACCCGUCUUGAAACACGGACCAAGGAGUCGUCCAUUAGAGCGAGCGUUUGGGUGUCAAACCCGCACGCGUAA
RNAcentral lists this ribosomal RNA (581 nucleotides) under Cryphonectria japonica. Its description in RNAcentral is "partial large subunit ribosomal RNA". It matches the Rfam family "Eukaryotic large subunit ribosomal RNA", at positions 114 to 719 of the family's 3401-position model. The record is from RNAcentral. Lineage: Eukaryota; Fungi; Ascomycota; Sordariomycetes; Diaporthales; Cryphonectriaceae.